UACGGAGGGUGCGUGCGUUAAUCGGAAUAACUGGGCGUAAAGGGCACGCAGGCGGGCUUUUUAGUGAGAUGUGAAAUCCCCGGGCUUAACCUGGGAAUAGCAUUUCAGAGUGGGAGUCUAGAGUACUUUAGGGAGGGGUAGAAUUCAACGUGUAGCGGUGAAAUGCGUAGAGAUGUGGAGGAAUACCGAAGGCGAAGGCAGCCCCUUGGGAAUGUACUGACGCUCAUGUGCGAAAGCGUGGGGAGCAAACAGG
Molecule: ribosomal RNA, 253 nt
Filed under: uncultured bacterium
Lineage: Bacteria
Description: partial 16S ribosomal RNA
Rfam family: Bacterial small subunit ribosomal RNA
Source: RNAcentral